AACGAACGCUGGCGGCAUGCCUAACACAUGCAAGUCGAACGAGACCUUCGGGUCUAGUGGCGCACGGGUGCGUAACGCGUGGGAACCUGCCCUUAGGUUCGGAAUAACUCCCCGAAAGGGGUGCUAAUACCGGAUAAUGUCUUCGGACCAAAGAUUUAUCGCCUUUGGAUGGGCCCGCGUUGGAUUAGCUAGUUGGUAGGGUAAAAGCCUACCAAGGCGACGAUCCAUAGCUGGUCUGAGAGGAUGUUCAGCCACACUGGGACUGAGACACGGCCCAGACUCCUACGGGAGGCAGCAGUGGGGAAUAUUGGACGAGGGGCGAAAGCCUGAUCCAGCAAUGCCGCGUGAGUGAUGAAGGCCUUAGGGUUGUAAAGCUCUUUUACCCGGGAUGAUAAUGACAGUACCGGGAGAAUAAGCUCCGGCUAACUCCGUG
Molecule: ribosomal RNA, 433 nt
Filed under: uncultured bacterium
Lineage: Bacteria
Description: partial 16S ribosomal RNA
Rfam family: Bacterial small subunit ribosomal RNA
Source: RNAcentral